GCCUCUGUAGCUCAAUGGCAGAGCACUGGGCUUGUAAACCAGGGGUCGAGAGUUCAAUCCUCACAAGAGGCA
This is a non-coding RNA of Acanthoscelides obtectus, 72 nucleotides long. NCBI's taxonomy places the organism in Eukaryota, Metazoa, Arthropoda, Insecta, Coleoptera, Chrysomelidae. The record is from the annotation of a GenBank genome assembly.